RNAcentral lists this ribosomal RNA (480 nucleotides) under uncultured bacterium. Its description in RNAcentral is "partial 16S ribosomal RNA". It matches the Rfam family "Bacterial small subunit ribosomal RNA", at positions 28 to 523 of the family's 1533-position model. The record is from RNAcentral.
GACGAACGCUGGCGGCGUGCCUAACACAUGCAAGUCGAGCGAAUGAAAUUCCUUCGGGAACGGAUUUAGCGGCGGACGGGUGAGUAACACGUGGGCAACCUGCCUCAUAGAGGGGAAUAGCCUUCCGAAAGGGAGAUUAAUACCGCAUAAGAUUGUAGUACCGCAUGGUACAGCAAUUAAAGGAGCAAUCCGCUAUGAGAUGGGCCCGCGGCGCAUUAGCUAGUUGGUGAGGUAACGGCUCACCAAGGCGACGAUGCGUAGCCGACCUGAGCGGGUGAUCGGCCACAUUGGGACUGAGACACGGCCCAGACUCCUACGGGAGGCAGCAGUGGGGAAUAUUGCACAAUGGGGGAAACCUUGAUGCAGCAACGCCGCGUGAGUGAUGACGGCCUUCGGGUUGUAAAGCUCUGUCUUCAGGGACGAUAAUGACGGUACCUGAGGAGGAAGCCACGGCUAACUACGUGCCAGCAGCCGCCGUAA